This 849-nucleotide ribosomal RNA is filed under the name uncultured Psychrobacter sp. RNAcentral describes it as "bacterial SSU rRNA". It matches the Rfam family "Bacterial small subunit ribosomal RNA", at positions 9 to 873 of the family's 1533-position model. Lineage: Bacteria; Pseudomonadati; Pseudomonadota; Gammaproteobacteria; Moraxellales; Moraxellaceae. The record is from RNAcentral.
AGAGUUUGAUCCUGGCUCAGAUUGAACGCUGGCGGCAGGCUUAACACAUGCAAGUCGAGCGGAAACGAUGAUAGCUUGCUAUCAGGCGUCGAGCGGCGGACGGGUGAGUAAUACUUAGGAAUCUACCUAGUAGUGGGGGAUAGCACGGGGAAACUCGUAUUAAUACCGCAUACGUCCUACGGGAGAAAGGGGGCAACUUGUUGCUCUCGCUAUUAGAUGAGCCUAAGUCGGAUUAGCUAGAUGGUGGGGUAAAGGCCUACCAUGGCGACGAUCUGUAGCUGGUCUGAAAGGAUGAUCAGCCACACCGGGACUGAGACACGGCCCGGACUCCUACGGAAGGCAGCAGUGGGGAAUAUUGGACAAUGGGGGAAACCCUGAUCCAGCCAUGCCGCGUGUGUGAAGAAGGCCUUUUGGUUGUAAAGCACUUUAAGCAGUGAAGAAGACUCUUCGGUUAAUACCCGGAAACGAUGACAUUAGCUGCAGAAUAAGCACCGGCUAACUCUGUGCCAGCAACCGCGGUAAUACAGAGGGUGCAAGCGUUUAUUCGUAAUUUCUGGGCGAUAGCGAGCGUUGUGGCUUGAUAAGUCAUAAGUUGAAAUCCCCGGGCUUAACCUGGAAACUGCAUCUGAAACUGUUAGGUAGAGUUGUGAGAAGGAUUAUAAUUUUAUGUGUAUCGUUGAAUGCUAUUGUUCUGAUGAUUUCUAUGGCUUAGUCAUCUUCUGGCUCUAAUGACUUUAUGUUUGUAAUGUUGGAAUGAAAUGUAAUGAUGUAUGGUUAUUCUGUCUGUAAUGAUGUUUCUAGUCUGUGGUUCUUUGGACUAUAGUGCUCUUAUUAUAUGUAUUUUGUUGG